UACAGAGGGUGCGAGCGUUAAUCGGAAUUACUGGGCGUAAAGGGCGCGUAGGUGGUUAAUUAAGUUAGAUGUGAAAUCCCUGGGCUUAACCUAGGAACUGCAUUUGAUACUGAUUGACUAGAGUGUGGUAGAGGGUAGUGGAAUUUCCGGUGUAGCGGUGAAAUGCGUAGAUAUCGGAAGGAACACCAGUGGCGAAGGCGGCUACCUGGACUAACACUGACACUGAGGCGCGAGAGCGUGGGGAGCAAACAGG
Molecule: ribosomal RNA, 253 nt
Filed under: uncultured bacterium
Lineage: Bacteria
Description: partial 16S ribosomal RNA
Rfam family: Bacterial small subunit ribosomal RNA
Source: RNAcentral